GGAAUGAUUGAGCUAAAGGUAAAACAUUAAAGUUUAAGGUAAACAAAGGAAAAUAAGGUAACAAAGCAGAAACGGCAACUUAAUUAUAUAAACGUCGAAGGCUGAGUGUAUUUGGCAACCCCCCGAGGAGGCACAAGAUUUCCUCACCAUGAUGAAGCUGAUCCUGUCUCUCACUCUCAUCUGGACUCUCUCCAGCACAGCUGAAGCUCUUCAGUGUUGGGAUAAU
This is a long non-coding RNA of Scomber scombrus (Atlantic mackerel), 226 nucleotides long. RefSeq lists it as uncharacterized. Lineage: Eukaryota; Metazoa; Chordata; Actinopteri; Scombriformes; Scombridae. The transcript is spliced from 3 exons. The record is from RefSeq and is a predicted model, not a curated record.